RNAcentral lists this ribosomal RNA (636 nucleotides) under Tylencholaimellus cf. magnidens Konza IICD-52. RNAcentral describes it as "SSU rRNA". It matches the Rfam family "Eukaryotic small subunit ribosomal RNA", at positions 1003 to 1664 of the family's 1831-position model. Lineage: Eukaryota; Metazoa; Nematoda; Enoplea; Dorylaimida; Tylencholaimellidae. The record is from RNAcentral. RNAcentral also lists the same sequence under 1 other name.
GGCGAUCAGAUACCGCCCUAGUUCUAACCGUAAACGAUGACAACCAGCGAUUAAUCGGCGUUAAUUUAUGACCCGAUUAGCAGCUUCCGGGAAACCAAAGUUUUUCGUUUCCGGGGGAAGUAUGGUUGCAAAGCUGAAACUUAAAGGAAUUGACGGAAGGGCACCACCAGGAGUGGAGCCUGCGGCUUAAUUUGACUCAACACGGGAAAACUCACCCGGCCCGGACACCGUAAGGAUUGACAGACUGAGAGCUCUUUCUUAAUUCGGUGGGUGGUGGUGCAUGGCCGUUCUUAGUUGGUGGAGCGAUUUGUCUGGUUAAUUCCGAUAACGAACGAGACUCUGGCCUAUUAAAUAGGCGGCAUAUCAGAAAGUAUGUCGUACUUCUUAGAGGGACAAGCGGCUUCUAGCCGCAUGAAAUAGAGCAAUAACAGGUCUGUGAUGCCCUUAGAUGUCCGGGGCUGCACGCGCGCUACACUGAAAGAGUCAGCGAGCGAUUCACCUGGUUCGGAAGAACUGGGUAACCCAAGUAAAUUCUUUCGUGCUUGGGAUAGGGAAUUGCAAUUAUUUCCCUUAAACGAGGAAUUCCCAGUAAAUGCGGGUCAUAAGCUCGCGUUGAUUACGUCCCUGCCCUUUGUA